AUGCUCGCUGGUUUGCUGGGGCACAGUGGUCUGUCACCGCAAGCAACGGAGGUCUGGAGAAGGAUGCUCGGAGAAGGGCACAAGCCUGACUCCGUCGUGCUGUCGACGAUGCUCUGCCAUCACCCUGAUGAUGGCAAACAGGGACCGGAGGUUCAUGCCUGGGUGAUCCGCCAUGGGCUCGACACAGCGUUGUCAGUGGCAAACUCUCUGAUUGGAAUGUACUCCAGAAAGAAUGAGCUAGGCCACGCCCUGUCCGUGUUCGAGUCGAUGCCGGUCAGGGACCUGGCCUCGUGGAAUGCUAUAAUCUCUGGGCACAGCCAAGACUUCAGAGUUCUCAUGAUGUUCCGCCGCAUGGUGGACUCCGGAGUGCGGACGGAUGAGACCACAUUUGCUGCGGUGCUCUUUGCGUGCGACAAUCUAGGGUUGGUGGAGGGCGGCAUGAGGCUGUUCUCUGAGAUGGAGAACAAAUACAGAAUUCAGCCUACUGUACAGCACUGUACCUCUGGUGAACAUGCUAGGCAAAGCUGGGAUGGUGGAUGA
RNAcentral lists this ribosomal RNA (540 nucleotides) under Triticum aestivum (bread wheat). Its description in RNAcentral is "partial small subunit ribosomal RNA". The record is from RNAcentral. Lineage: Eukaryota; Viridiplantae; Streptophyta; Magnoliopsida; Poales; Poaceae.